AUUUAUAUAAAAUUCAUUAUUAAAGAACAUAAAAGAUUGAGUUUUCCUUAAAAAAUCUGCAAUUAUUUACAGCAGUAUUGCACAAGUAAAGUGACAAUUACCCUGUCAAAAAUUCAUCAGUGCAAAACACAAGUAAGCCAGGGAAAUUGCAAUAAAAAUGCUACAUAUGCUGGGUCCUAUGAAACAAAGUAAGUGAUUAAUCAGUCUAAGUUACAGAUCAGUGCUAUGUACAUAUUGGUACCUGAUGAGUUUUUAUACAGUAUUAGUGGUCUUUAAACCAGGGUACAAAAUAUUUAGAUUCUCUGAAAGCCCCAAAAAAUAAGUAGUCAAGUUAUUUACAUGAGAACUUGAGGGUGCUUCUUGUUGUAUAAGGAAAUGUAUGUGUAAAUGUCAAAUUACACAGUUGAUUUACCUGUGUGCAUGCACCAAAGCUCCCAUACAUCUACUGUAUGUAUGAGUGCAGAGUAAUAGAUACACAUGUAGGCACCAGACUAAACUGCAAUGACAGGGCUUUUCACUUGUUAUAUAUGGAGCCUAUCAGCAAAUAAAUUUUCUUAAAAACAUUCACAACUUAGCACAUCCUAAUAGCCAAUUAAAGAUUUCUCUCAUCUGGACUCAAAAUAAUCUCGAAUGAAAUACAAACUAAACUGAGGUCAAAUUAAUAGGACUAUCAGAAUGUUAUGGAUUACUAUUCCAUUGAGGGAAGAAGAGUAGGAAGGAUAAACCAUAUUUCAAUUGCAAAGUAAAUAACACACUGAUAUUAAAAUAAGUAAACUUAUACCCCCAUCAGCUUGCUCCCAAGUAAAUGGCUGGGGGAACAAGGCAAAAACAAAAACAAAAACAUAGGGUCCUCAUCUUAUUUCCUUCCUAACAAAUAAAGGAGAAAAAACCAGGGGAAUCAAACAACGUAAGUGAUCUCCUGUUCACUUAUCCCUCGAAUCCCAGACUUUGGCAACCUUUACAAUCUGAUCACCUUUUUGUUUUCUCAACUUUGAUUAGUCAAUGGCAGUAAACUUUUCCCAAGCUAAAUGUUAUUUUCUACCUAAAGAUGGGGCUUAGGGCAAACAAUCUGCUAUGGUUUACAACUGGAACAACUCAACUUGUAAAAUGAAUAAGAAUGAAAUCUAAAGGACCACAGUAGAAAAACCAUACAGACAGCACUGAAAGAGACAGUGCGUUAAACUGAUCAAUCACUCCUUCUGUGUUAAAGCAGAUAAUCUGGGGAAGGGAAAGGGAAUGCAUAACUUUACAGAACAUAAGAAAUUAAAUAAGCAGAAAAUAAAUAUACAAUAUUUCUACAAGUUACAGCAUUAUGAAACAGUAGAACACAUUACACAGAAAAGAAUCUACAUAUUUACAAAUGUCAAAAUCUAAAAAAAGUUUAGAAAACAGUGAUUUUUACUUAUUUACAAAAUCUUACAGAAAAGACAAAAGAACCACACACAAUUGCACACAGACAUUUGGCUCAGUUGAUAAGAGUUAAGUAAAGAUGUUCUACUCUAAUAAAUAUCCAAAUAUUUACAGUAAAAUAGAAGAGAGAUUUAAGGGAGGGAAUGAGGGAAAAUUUUUAUACAAAUUUUUAUAUCAGAAGAAAUUUAAACUGGUUUCUCCACAACCAAAGAAAAUUCUUCAUAAAGUUUUGGCAGGAUAGAAAGGAUAUGUCAUCUGAAGAGUUACUCAUGGAAUUAACUAUUUUGUAUUUGCUUAUUGCAUUUCAGUGUUAUGCCAUGGGAGACUUACUACAAACCCAACGUGGGUAGAGGUUGUCAAGGCACAAAACCCGCAUUAAGUUUUCAAAAAGUGGAACUAGCUGUCUUUAAAAAAAAAAAAAAAAAAAGUAUACCAAAGUAUACUCCUGCUGCAGGCAUCGUGAUCUCUAAGAGAUACAGUACAGAGAAAUGUAUUUCUCUCUCAAACUCAUGGUGCCAACAUCCUAUUCUCUACUGCUUCCAUAAUUCAUAGAAUUUCUACUAGGCUUAUCUAUAUAUCAUCAGCCUGAAGCAAUGGUGGCAAACCUGUUGCUCUACCAUGCUUGAGGUAAAUAUACAAAAAAGGACAAUAAUCCCCACUGUGGCACUGGGCCAGCAGAGCCUUACAAAAAUGUCCUUUUUAUCAGUUGCAUUGCUUCCAGCUCCCGGGGGAGAUGGAUACUUAAAAGAAACAGAAGUAAAGUGCUCCAGCUGUAGAAAUUAGAAUAUGAUCAUAGAUAUCCAAGUGGGGGAUUCAGGUGGAACCAAACAUCUUUGGUGUGUCCAGCAAGGUACACAAAUUUUAAUACUUUCUGUUACAGUCUUUGUUCAUUCUCACAACCAGUGGACAAUGUGACCUUACUAUAUAAGGUUUCAAGACUAAUUCAAGAAACCAUAGCUAAGAUCCAACAUAAUUCCUAUGAACCUAAUUCCAAAUCACUAAGAGGGAAAGAAAAAUCCUUCAGUGUAGAGAAAAAAAAUUCCUCUGAAUAUAUGGGAAAGAUGGAUAUACCCCCCCCCAAAAUUAUAUGUAAUUAUGAAACCACAUAUUCAACAUAAUUUUCAUCAAUUGUCAAGCAGAAUUACAGGAACACUGGAUCCUCUAAGGGGCAAAAGUUGGCACUGCUGACAAUCCAAAAGUUACUAUGAAACAAAAAAUUGCUCACAAGGCUAACUUUUCACCAUGAAAAAGUGGGGUUCAUGAAACAAUCCCCCAAACCAUAUGACCUCCCUCUCCCAUUCGUGGAUAAAAUGCAAACUCCAUGGACUGUUUUUCUUUGAAAAAUAAAAAUAAAAAUAAACAGAAACCUUUUUAAAUUCUUAGUCCUGACUUUAGUGGCAACUUCAAGAUGUAAAAGUUACAAUAAUCAGGAGUAGGAUCAUAUCUAAGGGAAGAGCUACACCUGCCAGGGAUGAGGCACUGAUGACCAGUGCAUAGAAUUCAUUUAAAAAUUUACCUCUCAAAUUAAAACGUAAUAAAGAAAAUGGCACUCAGAGGCUUAGAGAUGGCUUGAAAUAUUAAAUAUGUUGGAAUAUUUCAUAAUUAUGCCCAAUUGAAUUUUUCUAGGGUACUGGUGAAACCAGAAUUAAACCUGUACUUCCGAAGGAAUUUUGAUUUUGGGAAUUUCAGGCAUCAUAGGUUAGUGGGAGUCUAAAGAAAAUCUCAUUGAUGAGUCUUUAAAAAUGUCAACUGAAGGAGUUUCCCCCAAUCCCACCUCAGCUGGCAAGGCAUUUCCUAUUUAGUUAAAUCAUUGGGCAAUCUGGACUCAAGCUUUGGUCAUGCAAUCAAUCAAGUCUUUCUGAAGGUGACCGAAAACUUUUGGCUCUUUGUAUUCUACAACUACAGCAUUUCAUCCCUGCAUUAACAAUCUAUAAACAGUAACCAGUAGCCAAAAGUCCCAACCAACUCACUAU
Sarcophilus harrisii (Tasmanian devil) is the source of this 3383-nucleotide long non-coding RNA. NCBI's taxonomy places the organism in Eukaryota, Metazoa, Chordata, Mammalia, Dasyuromorphia, Dasyuridae. The record is from Ensembl.